GAAAGUUCUAAAGGCGCAGAAGGUUGCAAGGAAGACAAUUCAUUCCAGACAGCGAGUCUCUUUGUGUGAUCUGGCUCUCCAUACACAAAGGUAACUUGGAAGAUGAGAAACAGACCUCCACUCCCUGGGCUGUUAGGGGGAACUUCAUGAUAAUUAUCUAGUGGAAGGCCUUGCAGUUUCUUCUUGACUAUUUCCAGGUUGUUCUUGGUUUCCAUGAGGAAGUAAAUAUCGGGAGAGUUCCUCUUCUGUAUCUCCCUCAACCGCUGGGCUGUUGCAGGGUUCCCCAGCCCGCAACAGUUCCAGCUAAGUACGACUAAGGAGCCCGGGGUGGAGUGACCCGAAAAUCCGCUUUCUUUCGGGUCAUUGCCGGUAUGAGUUGGAUUGGUGGAUUACCAGUUCCUUGGGAGCGAGCUUUUGGGUCGUUUGUCAUUUUCCUCUUCUGAUUUACUCUGGAUGUACCUUCACCUGCACCUCUUCCUCCCUUAGAGUUUCCUCUUGCUCAGCUGGAGUCAUUUGCUCUUGGUGCUCUGGAACUGAUGGAGGAACCUCCUCCCUUCCCACAUUAGUGCUGAUGAUAGUACUGUCACUUGUGGUGGGGUGACUUCACUGUCGUAGAUGUCAAGCUCAUUAUCGUCGUGCUUAUCUUCUCCUUCUGUUGGGCUAAA
Brassica napus (rape) is the source of this 665-nucleotide long non-coding RNA. RefSeq lists it as uncharacterized. NCBI's taxonomy places the organism in Eukaryota, Viridiplantae, Streptophyta, Magnoliopsida, Brassicales, Brassicaceae. The transcript has 5 exons. The record is from RefSeq and is a predicted model, not a curated record.